This 20652-nucleotide long non-coding RNA is filed under the name Homo sapiens (human). RNAcentral describes it as "non-protein coding lnc-TRIM45-1:9". The stretch from base 3947 to 4047 matches the Rfam family "mir-562 microRNA precursor family". Lineage: Eukaryota; Metazoa; Chordata; Mammalia; Primates; Hominidae. The record is from RNAcentral.
AGAAGGUGGCGGGGCUUCUGGAGGAAAAGAAGCUUCGAUUUGCAGGUCUUGGAAGACGGAAGGGCAACUCUUGUUUACGUUUAAAACCGAGAGGCGGCCCUAGGGGUAGCGCCAGUUAGCAGGCGCUGAAAGGCCCUGGCUUCGUGGGUGUCUCUGAGCCAGGCUGGCGCUCGUGCGCGCUGGGCUCCGCGCUCAGUCGCUGGGGUGGGAGGCCAGGGGAAGCCGCCGCUGCAGGCCGAGCCGCGAGAUUUGCAGUGCAGGAGCCGAAGCGGCGGGCAUGGUGGGAGGUCCUUGGAAGCUGCUGCGGGGAACUGAAACGGCUCUGAUAGGCAGGCACAAAGACUUCUCUAGGACCCCCUACAAUGCUUUACGUUUGCCUCGUGCUUUAGAUUUCACAAAGUGCUUACACAUAACACGACCCUCCUCACUCGACCUGGUGAGAUGGGUAGCAUUUUGUGGAAGAUUCCGAGACUCAAGUUUGAGAGACUCACCCAAGGUCAGAGUUGGCGAGUGGGCGGUCCGUGGACAGGUGCGCAGGUCUCAGCGCCAUUUGGCCCGCGCUGCUGCUUCCUGUGUGUACUGGAUGUUCUCUAGGCUCGCCCAGCGUGGAAGCCCCGAGUUACCAGCCGCAACGUGGAAACCACAGAAGGGGAAAUAGAUGACUUUUGUGUCGUGCUUUGUCACCCAGACUGGAGUACGGUGGUGUAAUCAUAGCUCACUCUAGCCUCAACCUUUCAAGCUCAAGCAAUCCUCCCACCUCAGCCUCUGGAGUAGCUGGGACCACAGGUUUGUGCCACCACACCUAACUAAUUUUUUGAUUUUUUUUUUUUUUUUUUUUUUUUUUGUAGAGAGGAGGUCUUGCUGUGUUUCCCAGGCUGGUCUCAAACUACUAGGCCCAAGCAGUCUUCCUGCCUCAGCCUCCCAAAGUGCUGAAAUUACAGGUGUGAGCCAACACACCCAGGAACAAGUCCAACCCCACAAAAGUGGAGCUUAAUUCCUAGGAAAAUGAAAGAAUUAUACUUUCUGUGGUCAGCAUUGUGCUGGCUGGCAUACAUUAAACAUGUCAGACCUCCAUAAGAUACCAGUGGUGAGAGGAUGAGCUAGAACAUUCACCUUUUGACAUCUCGGUCACUACCUUAUUGUUUUAAAAUAAUCAGCAAUUCCAAGUUUCAAGUGAUUUGUAAAAUUCUAGCGGCUAUGCUUUAUUGAUUAUUUUUUAAAUUAAAUUGUUCAAAUUUAUGUUUCAAAUGAGCAGAUCAUUCUAAGAAUCAUAUUUACUUUUCUGAACUUCUGGUGUUUUUGCUUGUUGCUUUGGGAUAGGAUGGGAAGGAGUAAUUUUAAUUGGCAGAUAAAAGAUUGUUCCCUAUUAGGCACAUUCUGAGAGGGAAAGUCAUAUUCUAACUUUUCCUGAGGUGUGUUCUGAGAUAGUACUUUUAUAUGCAUUGUCACAUUUAAUUGUCACAACUAGCCUAGGGAUGGGAUUUUUUAUCCCCAUUUUUAAGAUGAAGAUACUAAAGUUUAGAGCAGUUAAGGAGGUGGCCCCAAGGCCAACUUACCUUACAGAGCUGCUCCUAAAACUUUGGAACCGGAUAGUCCCCAUGGAUUAAUUUUGACCUGGCUCAAAGUCACAAAGCUGACAGCAGCCAAUCAGGGACUAAAGGCCAUUUUUCAGAACUUUCAAUCCAGUUCUUGCCACUAUAGUAUUUUUUCUUCUUCUUCUUCUUCUUUUUUUUUUUGAGACGGAGUCUCGCUCUGUCGCCCAGGCUGGAGUGCAGUGGCGUGAUCUCGGCUCACUGCAACCUCCACUUCCCAGGUUUAAGCAAUUCUCCUGCCUCAGCCUCCCAAGUAGCUGGGAUUACAGGCACCCACCACCACGCCCAGCAAUUUUGUGUAUUUUUAGUAGAGAUGGGGUUUCGCCAUGUUGGCCAGGCUGGUCUCGAACUCCUGAGACCUCAGGUGAUCCACCUGCCUCGGCCUCCCAAAGUGCUGGGAUUACAGGCCUGAGCCACUGCGCCCAGCCUAUAGUAUUUUUAUAAAGCAUAAAUUAUUCAGCAAUGCAUUCAGAUAUUUAACCCACACAUCGGUAAGUGUUUAGGUAUUUGCUGUGGUGUAGAGACAUGGCUCAACAAAUCCAAGACAAAAACCAAAAACCCAAGUCCUGCCAUUUUAUAAAUGACCACUAGGUAGCAGCCUAGUAACAUAAAAACCAAACUGAGGCCCACCCUCCUCUGUUUCAUUCUUUUUGUUUGAAGAUAUAUAAUGGUAAUUCAAUUUCAUUUCAUUUCAUUUUGUGCCUUUCAAACAUAUGACUGUUUUCAACUUGUCCUUUGACAUAGGCUCGAUCAGGAUGAUACUAUAGUGAGAACAAAUGUGGUUAUAAUUUGUAAAGCCAAGAGACUUUACAAAUUAUUUUGUUAUACCAAUAUUUUUUCAGUACUAGAUUCCAAAUUUCACUGUUCUUAAAAUAUUAUUCCAAAAGUGGUUCAAUGCAGGCUCUUUAUCUUCUUCUUUUUUUUUUUUUUUUUUUUUGGUAAAUGUACAGGUAUUUUUUUCAGUUGGAGUCUUGUCUGUUACCCAGGCUGGAGUGGAGUGCAAUGGUAGGAUCUUGGCUCACUGCAACCUCCGCCUCCUGGGUUCAAGUGAUUCUCCUGCCUCAGCCUCCUGAGUAGCUGGGAUUAUAGGCUUGUGCCACCACGCUCAGCUAAUUUUUGUAUUUUUAGUAGAGAUGGGGUUUCACCAUGUUGUCCAGGCUGGUCUUGAACUCCUGAACUCAGGUGAUCCACUCGCCUCGACCCCCCAAAGUGCUGGGAUUACAGGCUUGAGCCAUCGCGCCCGGCCACAAUUCUUUUUUUUUUUUUUUUGAGACAGAGUCUCACUCUGUUGCCAGGCUGGAGUACAGUGGCAUGAUCUUGGCUCACUGUAACCUCUGCCUCCUGGGUUCAAGUGACUCUCCUGCCUCAGCCUCCCGAGUAGCUGGGAUUACAGGUGCCCGCCACCACGCCUGGCCAAUUUUUGUAUUUUUAGUAGAGAUGGGGUUUCACCCUGUUGGCCAGGCUGGUCUCGAACUCCUGAACUCAGGUGAUCCACCCGCCUCGGCCUCCCAAAGUGCUGGGAUUACAGGCAUGAGCCAUCACACCUGGCCCACAAUUCAUUGUUUAAGUAAAUUUAUAAAGUUGUGCCAUCACCACCAGAAUCCAGUUUUAAAACAUUUCUAUCACUCAAAAACUUUCCUCAAAGCUGUGUGCAGUCAAUCCCAACUGCCACCCCCAGCUAGUCCCAAGGCAACCUCUGAUAUGCUUUCUGUCUUUAUAAGUUUGCCUUUUCUGGACAUUUCAUAUAAUGGAGUCAUGUAAUAUGUAGUCUCUUGCCUCUGUCUUCUUUCACUUACAUAAUGCUUGUGAGGUUUACCCAUGUUGCACAUGUAUCAGUAUUUCACUCCUUUUUAUUGCUGAGUAAUAUUCCAUUGUGUUCAUUCACCAGUUGGUGGACAUUUGGAUCAUUUUCCCUUUGGAAUUAUUAGGAAUAAUAUUGCUAUGAACAUUAAUGUUAAAGUCUGUUUUAUUGUUUUUGUUUUUGUUUUUUUGUUUUUUGUUGUUGUUGUUUUUGAGAUGGAGUCUUGCUCUGUCACCCAAGCUGGAGUGCAGUGGCAUGAUCUUGGCUCACUGCAACCUCCAGCUCCCAGGUUCAAGCAAUUCUCCUGCCUCAGCCUCCCGAGUAGCUGGGAUUAUAGGCUCGAGCCACCACGUAAGCUAAUUUUUAUAUUUUUAGUAGGGACAGGGUUUCACCAUGUUGGCCAAGCUGGUCUCAAACUCCUGACCUCAGGUAAUCUAUCUGCCUCAGCCUCCCUAAGUACUGGGAUUACAGGCAUGAGCCACCGCACCCGGCCUAACGUUAAAGUCUUUAUAUGAACAUUUGUUCUCAUUUCUCUUGGGCAGAUAAACCUGUGAGUGGAAUUGCUAGUUCAUAUGGUUAGUUUGUUUAACUUUUUAAGAAAUUGCCAAACCACUUUCCAAAGUGGCUAUACCAUUUUAUAUUUCCACCAGCAACGUAUGAGGGUUCCCAGUUCUUCAUGUCCUCAACAAUGCUUGUUAUUGCGUGCCUUUUUUAGUAGGUAUGAAGUGGUAUCUGACUUUUGUUUGAAUUUUGAUUUUUCUAUUGAUGUGGCACUCUUUUUCGUGUGCUUUUUAGCCAUCAUCUUCCUCUUUUUAAAUGGUCUUGAAAGUCUUUUUCCUUUAACGUUUGUAUGGAACUUAAACCUAAGUUAAAAUGACAUUAAUUGUUAUUAAUACAAAGACAUAAAAAGACAUAGUAAUCAUUUGUAUAAUGUUAAGUAACAAACAUUAUACAAUGUACUAUGUACUAUGAGUAUAGUCAUGUCAAUUUGUUUUUUUUUUUUUUUUUGGAGACAGGGUCUCACUCAGCCCCUCAGGCUGGAAGUGGUGCAGUCUCAGCUCACUGCAGCCUUGUUCUCCCAGGCUCCAGUGAUCUUCCCAUUCCAGCCUCCCGAGUAACUGGGACUACCAGAGCACACCACCACAGCUGGCUAAUUUUUGUAUUUUUUGUAGAGACAGGGUUUCACCAUGUUGCCCAGGCUGGUCUCAAACUCCUGAGCUCAAGCAGUCUGCCGCGUUGGCCUCCCAAAGGGCUGGGAUCAUGUGUACACCAUCACACCUGGCAUCAAAACUAUUAACUUUCAAGACUAUAUGCUGUAUGAUUCCAUUUAUAUACCUCUGGGAGGUUGGGUUGGGAGAUUGGUGCAGUUUUUAUUUUCUACAACUAGCAUGUAUUGCUCUGUUACGAUUUUUAAAAUCCAAUAAAGAUAUUGAAAGCAGUCACAUAGAAAACAAUAACAAAGAGGAUGUACCAAAAUAAUAAUAACAAUGCUUAUUUAAGAUGGUAGGAUUAUUGGUGUUUUUUUCUUUUUUUCUCCCAUUGUUUUAUAUGGCAUAUAAUGUUAUUAUACUGUCAGCAGUAGAGCAGUCAUAGGCCCCACGUCUCUGUACCUUCAUCAGAACACCUCUUAAACUUGCCUAGUUCUCAUCUUAGCUAUUCAAUCCUAACUUUCCUCUAAUUAAUCCUUUCUUUCUUAUUCAUGUCCUCCUACCCAUUUUUUUGGUAUCUAAUUCAAGUUUUAUACCAAGCUGUUUUUUCCCUCUUCCCCCUAACCCUAUACCAGUUAUUCUGCUUAAUUCUAACCUUCUCCUCAACCCUCACUGCUCAUUUGUUCCCUAAAACCUUCGCUGCUUUACACAUUCAAGAUAACCUAGAACCUGAAGACCUCCAGUGGCUAUGUACUUGUUUUCUGGUGGCCAUCCUGAGUUGUAUUUCUUUUUUUUUUCCUUGUUUUUUGAGACAGAGUCUCACUCUGUCGCCCAGGCUGGAGUGCAGUGACAUGAUCUCGGUUCACUACAAUCUUCGCCUCCCGGGCUCAAGCAGUUCUCCUGCCUCAGCCUCCCGAGUAGCUGAGAUUACAGGCGCAUGCCACUAUGCCCAGCUAAUUUUUGUAUUUUUAGUAGAGACGGGGCUUCAACAUGUUAGCUAGGUUGGUCUCGAACUCCUGGCCUCAAGUGAUUGCCCACCUUGGCCUCCCAGCGUGUUGGGACUACAGGCGUGAGCCACUGCACCCGGCCUCUUGUUUGUUUUGUUUUCUGUUUUCUUUUUGUUUCUGAGUUGCAUUUUUUCUGGAAAGCAACAAAUGGCACUAAGGUGGAUUCCAGGUUCUCAAGCUGAGCGUAAACAAUACUACCCAAUGCUCUGAAGACUUUUGCCAUGAAGUUUUUAAGCCUCCUUGGAUGCUGGGAUCUUAGUAGCUGAGAAAACUCUGGCAGAGUUCUUCCUGGUUCUCCCUCCUUUUCCUUUCUGAGUUAACCUGGGAGCCAGAGCAGAGCAGCCUCUGGUUUUUGCUGCUAUUUUUUAGUACUAAAAUGGCCUUAAAGAACUCAUCAACCUUUUAAAACAUGAGUCAGGUUCUGUUACUUUGCCUAUAACUCUUCAGUGACUUUCUGUUAAACUUAGAGAAAAAGGUUAAGUCAUCCUUUUGGUUCCUACGGGCGCUGCACGGUUUGGCCCUUCCUGCUUUCACUCUCACAGACAGCCACGCCACUCCUCACCCAUUAUAUUGCAGCCGCCCUAACCUGUUUUCUGUUCCUCAGUGUGCCAAGCUUUGUAUUACCCUAAGGCCUGCAUUCAUAUUGUGCUUUCUGCCUGGAAUGCUUUCCUCAGUUCUUUAAAAACUUAGCCCUUCAUCCUGUAGGUCUCAGCAAGCACCAUCUCAGUGAGACUUGCCCUGACUACUUUAUCUACAAAGGUUCUUCCUUGUUCUCUCUCAGUAUCCGGUUUGCUUUCCACAUAACAUUUAUUUCAGAGUUGUCUGUUGACUUGUUUAUCGUCUGUCUUCUCCAUGGACUAUAUGUGUAAUUGCCAAGAAAGCAGGGACUUAUUUCUGUUUGGCUCACUAAUCACUGUAUACACAGCAUGUAAACAUUCCAUAAGUAUCUGUUAAAUGGAAUGGAUGAAAUCAUAGGGUAGAAGGAACCCUAAAGCCACCUAAUGCAUCCUCCCAAAUCCCUUCCACAGCAUCCCUAAUGGAUUCAGCAUAGAAACUUCUGGUUAUAGCAAGUUCUGUUUGGGUGUGUCGAAAUGUUAGUUAAUUCUAAUGCAUAUUGAGCAGAAAUCUUUCUGUCUGAAACUUCCACUUUCUUGUCAUGUGGAAUUAAACAAAAUACACCUGAUCCAUUUUUACAUCACUUUAAAAUAUAUGAAUAUGACUAUUUCAUCCUCUCUGCACUUCACAUGCAUUCUCUUUGCCCAGAGAAACUUGUCCAACUGCAUCAAUUACUUUUCUCCCUCCGACACCCCCUCACCAGUAUUUUGCUUUUUCUUUUUUGAGACAGAGUCUCACUCUUUUGCCCAGGCUGGAGUGCAGUGGCACGAUCUCAGCUCACUGCAACCUCUGCCUCCUGGGUUCAAGCGAUUCUCCUGCCUCAGCCUCCCGAGUAGCUGGAAUUACAGGCACAUGCCACCACACCUGGCUAAUUUUUGUAUUUUUAGUAGAGAUGGGGUUUCGCCAGUAUUUUUUGAUGAAUGUAUGCUUAAUUUGAGGCAUCCCAAAGAAAAUUCAAUAUGAAAAAUGCCGUGGGAUAAUUAUCUCCUUUAUUUUGGAUAUGACCAUUUUAUAUAUGAAAUGGAAAACUCUAAAUCUUUUUCUCUGUUUUUUCAAUAAGUAUGUUAUGCUAAUAAUAUAUAUCAAGUGUGCAAUCAACCAAAACACUGUUUUCAUUUUUCAUGCGUGAGCUCAUCUCCCCUAUCUGGUGCAUCUAAUUGCCUAAACUUAACUAUGGAUUCUAUAUUUCAUGUUAAUUUUGAUUCAUUAUUCUAGGUUAUCCAGAUCUCUUUGAAUCUUGUUCCUGUCAACUGACUUAUUAGUGCCAUCUCCUAAUUCUGUGUCAACUUGACAAGCCUGCUGUCUUUCCCUUCAUCCAAGUUGCCAAUAAAAAUGCUCAACAAGGCAGAGUGCUUUAGCAAGACCUGGAGAGAUCUCCUACAGGUAAACACGUUGCCAUGGUCUUUACACCUUGGGUAUGAUCAUUCACCCAAGCAUGGAGUCACAUAGUGUCCACGUUGUUCCUCUUGUUCAAAGGCCUUGCUGCAGUUCAUGCAUGCGGAAUCUAUAGCUGUCCCAUGACUUACCAGCCUAGCAGAAAGCAGCACAUCAGAAAAGGAAGUGAGUUUAACUUGGCAUGUCAUUUUCUUUCUUUCUUUUCUUUUUUUUUUUUGAGACAGAAUCUCGCUCUGUCACCCAGGCUGGAGUGCAAUGGCACCAUCUCGGCUCACUGCAACCUCUGCCUCCUGGGUUCAAGCGAUUCUCCCGCCUCAGCCUCCUGAGUAGCUGGGAUUACAAGCGUGCGUCACCACUCCCGGUCAAUUUUUGUAUUUUUAGUAGAGAUGGGGUUUCACUGUGUUGGCCAGGCUGGUCUCGAACUCCUGACCUCAGGUGAUUCGCCCGCCUCGGCCUCCCAAAGUGCUGGGAUUACAGGCGUGAGCCACCGCGCCUAGCAUGGCAUGGCAUUUUCUUGGUGAGCAGCACAGGAAGCAGCCCAGAGGCCUCAGUGGGGUGGCUCUUCAGAACAGAGGCCCUCGCCUCACACUAGGCUAGUGAUUCAGUCACACCACCAUCUCCUACGUCAAUUUGUCUCACAACACUGUCAUGUCUCACUUCUUAUAGAAUCUGUCGCCUCCUUUCUCUCCCUCUUGGUGCUCUCUCAAGGUUUACAUGCAUUUGGAUGAAAGCUAGGAAGGUUCUAAGUUGUAAGUGAGGGAUUUGCUGCGUCUCUCAAGGAGAAGAGGAAGUUACCUCUUUUGAUGAAGAUCCAAGGCAUCCUCCACUGUCACGUGGUGCAGAAGCAGACAUCCCCUUCAAAAGAUCUAGCUCUUCCCAGCUCUUCUGUUCCUCUUUAGUACUUUCUCACCCUCCCUUGCAGACUGAACUUCCACCUAACUCUAAGCGGAAGCCCACACACCUGUUUCCACACACAGUAAGACAGGACUUCUCCUGUCUGCUGUACCACAGAGACAGGCCUUGCCUCAGUGUGGUGGGGCUUGCUGCCUCCCCUGGUGUCUGAAGGGUUUCUUCCUGCAAGCACUCAGCCUUCUUCCUUCUCUGGGUCAGCAGUUUCUUCGGGAGCUGCAAGCACUGCUGGCACGGUGGAUCCGAGAGACCCACUUGAGCCUCAGAGCAGAGCUGGAUGGGGCAGAAGCUGGUCAAUUCUUUUUUCUCUGUAGUUUGUUGGCUUUUAUUUCUGCCUUCUCACUCUUAUGUGCUAAUUGUCACUGUUUCUUCUCUCUGUUUCUCUUCUUCUCCUGCUUUCCCCACUAUCCUCCCUGCUCGACCCUCCACAUUUCUCCUUGAGUUCAGGGCAGACAGAAACAGCAUUAAUGAUCAGCUGCAGAGGAGGAGGUGUCAAGGGUUUCUGUAUUCCCACCCAGAGCUCUGCAUGCAUGUUUAAGCAAUCCCUUUCCAUCUUUACACUCUUUCAUGAUGACACUGUUUCUGACACUUCAGUGAUCACCUAUUUCUGAUGGAAGAGCUGGAGCAUUGCUAAGUGGCAGGUGGGGAAAUUCUACUCAGUUCACUUGACUGGUUUUGCUCUUAAGUUGUAAUCCUACCCAAGUGUACACAUGCACAGUAAAAAAUACCAAACCUGUAGCACUCAGAUAACUUACUCCAUCUGAACUAUGUUAACAGACAUGAAGAGUGCACACCUUGGAUAGGUACAGGACAAGCCACAGUCCAGUUCAUUAAUUAUGCUGUCAAUUUGGCUAUAGUCUGAAUGAUGUUUCCCAUAAUUCACAUAUUGAAGUCCCAGCCCCCAGUGUGUUGGUAUUUGAAGAUGGGGCCUUUGGGAGAUAAUUAGGUUUAGAUGAGGUCAUGAGGAUGGGUCAUGAUGGUAUUAGUGCCCUUCUAAGAAGAGACCAGAGAGUUUGCCUUCUUUGUCAUGCCAUGUGACUACACAGUGAGAAGGUGGCUUGUCUACAAGCCAGAAAGAGAGUCCUCACCAAAAUCCACAUCAUCUGGCACUUUGACUGGGACUUCCAGCCUACAGAACUGUGAGAAAAUGAGUAUCUGUUAUUUCAGCCACCCCAUCGGUGGUAUUUUGUUAUGGCAGCCCAAGCAGACUAAUACAGAUUCCAAACUAAUUAUUUGCUAUCUGCCAUAAUAGUUGUUUUCCAAAUGUGCCAUUUGCACUCAAAUCUACAUGUAAAUUGAAACAGGUAAUUAAUAUAGGUACAAUGUACCUCAGAAUAGGAGUCUCUGGUGAUGCCAUUUCUCAUUAAUUCCCAUAUAUUACAUAUCUUUACUUGGAACUCUUGGGUUAAACUACCCUGGCUUUGCAUUUAACUGUAAAGCACUCAGAUAAUUCUAUCCACAUGCUCCUCUGUUCACACUGCCUUGAUAUCCUGACUUCUGAAACUUUAUACUUACCUAUCCCUUAAAUUAUCCUUUUGAGCUAAGAACCCAAGCAAUGAUCCUAUUUCGUGGCAAAACCCAUGCUUGCAUUCUAUUUCCACAUCCUGUUCUACUAGUGUGCUAAGAAUUAAGAAGUAAAAUGCAAGUAUCUCGUUUCCUUUUCAGGAAUGGCUAGCUUGUUAAGAAUGAUGAUGACACCUAACAUUUAUGAGUUCUGACUCCCUCACAUGUAUAUCUCAUUUAAUCCUCACAAUCAACUCUGUGAAGUAAUGGGUAUUAUCCCCAUUUUAUGGAUGAGGAAAUUGAGGCAAAGCAAGAUUAACCAGCAAAGAUCACACAGCUAGUGGGUGACAUCGUCAGAGCUUGAACCCAGGCAGUCUGAAUCCAGAGCACACAUUCCUGAGUAUUAAUUUUUUGGAUGUAUUCAUUGGGCACACCAUCUAAAAGAAGCAAAAAAAUCUAAGUAGAGGAAUGUAAGAGAUAGUAGUUAGUGGCUUCAAUUUCAUCUCAUCGAUAGAUGAGGGCUCAUAUAUUUACUGUUUCUUUUGUAUGGAAAGACUACUAUUAAAUACGGAGUUGCCAUUGAGCCUUCUGUUGCCAGGUGGAAAAUCUACUGGUUUACUGCAUUUGAAUGAUCCACAUUUAAUCCUAACUGAAUGCCUUUCCUCAAUCAAUAAAAGAAUUUCAAGGGAAAUAUUUGGACACCUGUGUGUGUUAGGAGCUGAUGUUGGGCUGAGCCAGUAACCUUUAUUUGAUAUUGAAGCUAAGCCCAGCCACUUUAGACUCCUGUAACACCACUCAAUGUUUUGCUUCAAUGUUUUUUGUUUGUUUGUUUUCCACACAGCAGCCCCAUUUGUCAAUUUUAGGGCUAGAAGGUAUUUGGCCCGUGCUUAGAGAAUACGGGCCCUUCUGCCAUCAGCACCCGUUUAUUGGGCUGGUCACAUCUUGGGCAUUAAGAACAGAAGAACCCUCAAUUUCCUGCUGCCAGCAGAGUGGUACAAAUAGCUGCUGUCAGACAGACCAUUAAACAAUACAAAGAUUCCCUAAAGACAGACUUAAGAACUUGUAGCAUCUGCCUUCAGUCAGGGGAGACCAUAACAAAACAUGCUCUUAUAUGUCUAUUUGAACAGCAUCAGAAGGCAGCACAGAGUGGCCAUUCAAUCAACAUGUGUUGGGCUGAAUGGAAAUCUGUCAGAACGAGGGCAAAGAGUGCAAAGGGGUCCCUGCUCCUGAAGUCCAAAUUUAUCUCCCCCUUUCAGAACAUGCUAGCACUUAGAGAUCUGUGACAACACAAGCACAUAUUAUCGUUUUCUGUCCCAGUGGUCCUCUCAUGACCUUGUGUGUACAGAUCUUUGCCCAUAAUGAAACGGUAGAAUCUUUAUGACUUGAGGAGGCUACUGUGAUAGAAAGACCAUUGCUUCUGGAAUCAAAGCAUCUGGGCUUAAUGAUCAUGAUCUUUAAUGCCACUUAAUGAUCAUGAUAUUUAACUGCUUUUUCCUGAUUUAUGGUUAUGAUGGCUGACUUUAUGUGUCAAUUUGACUGGGCUAGGGAAUGCCCAGAUAGCUGGUAAAAUAUUAUUUUUGGAUAUAUCAGUGAGGAUACCUCACUGAUGUGGAGACGACAUCCUCCAGUUUGUUGAGGGCCUAAAUAGAACAAAAAGAUAGAGAAAGGGCAAAUUCUCUCUUUGUUCUUGUUCUGGGACAUCCAUCUUCUUUCUGCUGCCUUUGGAGCUCUUUGCUCUUGGACCUUCAGGCUCCAGGACUUACAUCCCCUCCCCACUCAGUUCUCAGACUUUCUGCCUCAGACUGGGAGUUACAUCAUCAGCUCGCCUGGUUCUCAGGCCUUCAGACAGACUGAAUUACACCACCAGCUGUCUUGGUUCUCCAGCAUGCAGAUGGCAUAUCGUGGGGCUUCUUGGCCUCCAUAAUUGUGUGAGACAAUUCCCAGAAUAAAUCUCCUCUUAUAUAUCUAUACAUAGCCUAACAAUAUUCUAUUGUUUCUGUUUCUCUGGAGAACCCUGAUGAAUACAAUGGUUUAAUCUUGGCUUCUUGACAAUAUUGUUGUAAGGAUUCAAUCCUUGUAACAUGUGAUGGCAGCUCAAUAAAGUAAACCUUAACUCCUUUAUCCUUUCUUUGUUGAAGGAAGAAACAAUGUCAGUCAUUUCUGCCUGCCUACCUCCUAACAUAUGUUUUGGCACAUACUAAGUACCAGAAAAAUGCUUGUUGAAUACAUAAAUCUUACAAUUUCCCAUCUAUAUUAAAAUUCCUCAUUCUAUAUUGGUCAUCUGUUUGGUUCUCAACUACUUUUUGAAAGAAAAAUGCUUUACAAAAAACCCUCAGGUUUAAAUUAUUUACAUAAAGUUAUGUAUUAUUAUUAACAAGUUAUAUGUUAUUAAGUUAUGUGCAUACAAAAAAUGCUCAAAUCUUAAAGACAGCUCAAUGAAUUUUUACAUAUGUAUACACCCAUGAAACCACAACCUAGGUCAAAAAAACAACAUUUCAAUUACCCCAGAAGGUUCCUUCAUGCUACUUCUCAGCUAAUACUUCCUCUGCCAGUGAAAUCCUUAUUCUGACUUCUGUCACCAUAGAUUAGUUUUGCUGGUUCUUGAAUUUUGUACCUUUUUGUGUCUGUCUUCUUUUACUCAACAAAUGCUGUGAGAUUCAUUCAUGCUGUCAUUAUGUCAGUAGUUUGUUCAUUUUUAUUACUGUGUAGUAUUCUAUGAUAUGUACAAACUAUAAUUUAUUCAUUCACCUAUCGAUAAACAAGGGGAUUGUUUCUAGUUUUUAGCAAUAAUGAAUAAAGCUAUGAAUGUUCUUGUAUAUGUCAUUUGGUGGACAUAAGCAUUUAUUUCUCUUGGGAAAAUGGUAGUAGUGGAAUUGUAGGUCAUAAAGUAGGUAUAUAUUUAGCUUUAUUAGAAACUACCAAACUAUUUUACAAAAUAGUUGAAUACAUUUACCCUCCCACCUGCAAUGCAUUAGAUUUCUAGUUGCUCCACAUUCUUACCAGUGUUUGCUAUUGUCAGUCUUUUAUAUUUUCUAUCCUGGUAUAUGAAUAAAGUUAUCUCACUGUUUUAAUUUGCAUUUUUCUCAUGAGUAAUGACAUUGAACAUCUUUCAUACGCUGUGGCCAUGGAGCUGUACCACUCAUAUCUCCUUUCAAGGGAGCCUGCUGCAAAGAGCAUAGCUAAUUGACAACCUCCAGCAUCCAGAUCUUCAAAUAUUUAUGCUAAGGCCACAUUUCCCUUGGGCUGCUCCCUGCCAAGGACUAAGCAUGGCAGAGUUACUAGAGCUGGGCAAUGUCUGCCCCAUGGAGUACUUCUUCAAUAAGCAACCUUUGCUCAGAGACUCCUUAUCAGCUUGAGCCAGAUUAUCUCAGAACUGCUGUGCAAUCUGAAGACCUUCUUAUAUAAAUCCUCCUUCCUUCCCUGUUUCCUUUCACAGAAGUCAGACCUGCAGGACAGUCAAGGGCUCUUCCCCUCUUCUGCUCCAUCGCCUUUUUUCUUCACUGGCAUUGCCCCCAGUAGAUCCCUUUCAUGUCUAAUCUUGGCAUGUGCUUCUCAAAGCACCUGAACUAACAGUAUGCUUAUUGGCGAUUCUGAGAUCCAUGUUCAAGUCUUUUUUCUGUCUUUUUCAAACCAUAUUUAAAUCUUUUGGCCAUUUUUUUAAUUGAGUUAUGUGCUUCUCCUCUUUUAAAAUUGAUUUAUAAAAGUUUGGUAUAUAUUCUGGAUAUAAGCCUUUGUCAGAUAUGUUUUAUGAAUAUCAUUCUCCCAGUCUGUGAUAUAAUUACUAUUUUUGGAGACAGAGUCUCUCUCUGUCACCCAUACUGGAAUGCAGUGGCAUGAUGACAGCUCACUGCAGCCUCUACCUUCUGGGCUCAAGCAAUCCUCCCAUGUCAGCCUCCCAAGGAGCUGGACUGCUGGAACAUACUACCAAGCCUGGCUUUUAAAAUUUUUUAAUUUUUUUUUGGUAGAAAAGAUGUCUCACUAUGUUACCCAGGCUUGUCUUGAACUGCUGGGCUCAAGUGAUCCUCCCACCUUAGCCUCCCACAGUGCUGGGAUUACAAGCAUGAGCCACCACGUCCAGCCAUCACUUUCUUAAUAUUGUCUUUUAAUGAACAAAAAGUUUAAUUUUAAUGAUGUCCAAUUUUUCUAUUUUUUUUCUCUUAUCCUAUUACAUGAGAUAGAUGUCAAGGUUUGUUUUCCCCCCAUAUGAGUAUCCAAUUACUCUAGCACCAUAUAUUAGAAAGAGCAUCCUUUCCCCACUAUAGUAGCACCUAUAAUGGAAAUGUGUGUGUGUAUAUGUAUUUCUAAACUCUAUUCUGCUUCUUAGGUUUCCUUGUUUACUUGUGCACCUAUUCCACAUGGUCUUACUUAUUAUAGUUUGUAGAAUGUUCUGGACUCUGAGAAUAUAAUUCCUCCAAGUUUUGAUUCUUAAAUAUUGUUUUGUCGAUUCUAGAUAAUUUGUAUUUCCAUUUAACACUAAAUGAGCUUGUCAGUUUCUAAAAAACACUUGAGAUUUGCAUUAUGAUUCCAUUAAACCACAGUUUCUCAACCUGGCACUAUUGAAAUUUGGGGCCAGACAAUUCUUUGUUGUUAGGGAGAGCCGCUGUGCUGUUUAUUGUAGGAUGUUCAGUACUAGACCUGGUCUUCACUCACUGGAUGCCAGUAGCACUUCUCAAGUUGUAAAGACAUGCCAAAAUGUCUCCACAAAUUGCCAGAUGUCCUCUGGGAGCAAAAUUGCCACUCCCUCCCCAUGGAUAACAACUGCAUCAAAUCUAUAGAUCAACUUGGAGAAAACUGACAACUUAAUGAUAUUGAACCUUCCAAUCCAUGAAAAUGGAAUCUCUAUUUAGUUAGGUCUUCUUUAUCUCAGCAAAGUAUUGUAAUUUUCAAUGUAGAGUUUUUGCACAUCUUUUGUUAAAUUUAUUCCAAUGCAUUUAAUAUUUUCUAUUAAAUGUAAUUUUCAAAUUAAUUUUUCAAUUUUUGAUUUUUAAUAUACAAAAAUUAGUGCAUUUUUGCUCAUUUUUGAUCAACAUGUUCAUCAUGUAUUCAGCAACCCUGUUUGGAGACACUUUUGGAUUUUCUACAAAUAUAAUCAAGUCACCUGCAAAUAAAGAGUUUAACUUCUGUUCUAAUCCUUUUACCUUAUAUUUAUUUGUCUUGUUUUUUUGCAUUGGCUACGACCUCCAGUAUAAUAUUCAACAGAGAGUGAUAGUUGAUGUUAUCAUCUUAUUCCUAACUAUGGGGGAAAUAAUUUAAUAUUCCACCAUUAAUUAUUAUAUACUUUAUCAAUUUUAGAAAAUUCCCCUCUGUUACUAGUUUACUGAGAAAUAUUAUUAAGAAUAAGUGUUAAGGCUGGGUGUGGUGGCUCACACGUAUAAUCCCAACACUUUGGGAGGCCAAGACAGGUGGAUCACUUGAGGCUAGGAGUUUGAGACCAGCCUGGCCAACAUGGCAAAAUCCCAUCUCUACUAAAAAUAUGAAUGUUAGUCAGGCGUGGUGACACACACCUGUAAUCCCAGCUACUCGAGUGGCUAAGGCACAAGAAUCCUCCCUUGAACCCAGGAGGCAAAGGUUGCAGUGAGCCGAGAUCAUGCUACUGCACUCCAGCCUGGGUGACGGGUGACAGAGCAAGAGUCUGUCUCAAAAAAAAAAAAAAAAAAAAAAGAAGUGUUGAAUGUUAUUAAAUUCUUUUUUCUUGAUCUGUUGAGAUGAUCAAGUGUUAAUGUAGUGAUUUACAUAGAUUAAAUUUUAAAUGUUAAACCAACCUUGCAUUCCCUGUAAGAAAUCAUGCUCAGUAGUAAAUUGUUAUUAAAUCAUGAUUGGUUGUGAUUUAAUGUAUUACUGCAGACUAUUGUGGAUGGGCAAAGAUUUCUUGAACAAUACAUAAAACCACUACAGUGGGGAAAGAAUGCUCUUUUUAAAAAUAUGGUACUGGAGCAAUGGGAUAAUCAUAUGGAGCAAAUUAAACCGUGAUCUUUAUCUCACUUUUAUAAUGUGGUAAAAUAUAUAACAUAAAAUUUACCAUUUUAACCAUUUUUAUAUGCUCAUCUCAGUGGUAUUAAGUUCAAUCACAUUGCUGUGCAGCCGUCACCACAAUCCAGCUCCAGAAGUUUUUUCAUCUUCCCAAAUUAAAACUCUGUAAAUCAUUAAACAAUCAUUCCCUAUCACCCCUCCCUCAGGCCCAGCAACAACUAUUCUAGUUUCUGUCUCUAUAAAUUGGACUGGUUUAGGUACCUCAUAUGAGUAGAAUCAUAUAGCAUUUGCCAUUUUGUGACUGGCUCAUUCACUUAGCAUAAUAUCUUCAAGGUUCAUCCAUGUCAAUAGCAUGUGUCAGAAUUUAUUAUCUUAUUAAAGAUGACUAAUAUUGUAUUAUUUUUCAUGUACCAUAUUUUCUUUAUCCAUCCAUUUAUCCAUUGAUGCACACUGGCUUUCUUCCACCCACCUUUGGCUUUAGUGAAUAAUGCUGCUAUGAACAGGGGUAUACAAAUAUCUCUUCUUGCCCCUACUUUGAAUUAUUCUGGGUAUAUACCCAGAAGUAAAAUUUCUGGCUCAUAUGGUAAUUCUAUUUUUAAUUUUUGAGGAAGUGCCAUUCUGUUUUCCAUAGCAGCUGCUCUGCCAGUGCUAUGGAAAACAGAAUGAUUCCCAUCAGCAGUGCACGAGAAUUCUACCUCACAUUUUAUACAAAAAUUACUUUAUAUAAAAAUCAAUUUGACAUGUAUUUUAGACCUAUUUUUAAAUGGUAAGACAAUGAAGCUUUUAGAAGAAACCAUAGGCCAAUAACUCACAAUUUUAAGAUAUAGGCAUAACCUUCAGAUGCUAUUUUGGUGGCAGAGUUUUAGCAUUUAUUGAUGGCUUUAGGAUGUGAUGCAGGGAUUACAAGGAACAGAAUUCCACCCCUAAAAGUGUUUUGAUUACCUUGCACAAUAUCUUAUAUCUUAUGUUGAACUUAAGUGCCUUUCAAUAGAUAUGCAUGCUCCAAUUGCUCUAAUCUUCAUCCCUCCCUAAGGAUUUCCUCCAGACCGAUACUUUCUCUUCAUUUACGUACCUUAGAUGCUGAAACAUCUAAGUUUAUGAUCCCUGGUCUAUAGUAUUAUUGUACCCAAAUAACUAUUACUGAUAGAAGUUUUGAUUAGAAACUCACUGCAUAUAUACAUAUGCGUGUCAUCAAAGAACAUUUAUUGCUAUUGUCAUCGUAUGUAUUUGUUUUAUUGGCCUGAGCCUCUCAAUAAUGACUGUUAUCAUGAGGAAAAUGUUGAAAACCCCUCACACUGAAGAAGUACCUAUGUAAAUAAUAAAAGGCAAAAGGUAGCAGGCUUUAAACUUGCACCAGUGGCAUACAGUAGCUUCCAUAUUACUUUGUCUUUCCAAUGUAUUUGUGUGCCACGUGUGCACAUCAGGCCACCAAGAAACACCUCCCAGCAGAGUGUGGUUUUGGGAGAGAGGAACCAAGAUAAGAUUAUGGGAGCUCAAAAUCUUAUAAUUACCAAAGGGCAUGAGAUGGGGUAGGGAGCUUUCUGAGAUCUUGGUUUGCAUCACAACUCUCUAUAUGAACAUGAUCCAGCCCAGAAGAUGCAAACGAAAGAACAAACAGUAUUGAUUUUCCCUGGUAUGUUAUGUGGACACCCUUAGCAAUAAACACAUAUUGAAGUCAAUUGAGUGGGAUGAACAGGAUCACAAAAAAGGAGAAAUUUUCCAAAUGAAAGACACAAAAUCAGGGGCAUGUUUGGUAGACACCUGGGGAGUAAUUACCUGGCAAGUAAUUUGGUGUGGCUGGAGCACAAGGUACCCAGAAAGGGACUAGGGUGAGAUAAGUCCACCAAGAAUCCUAUUGUUGAAAAGCCAGUUUAAAAUGGAAGCACACACCCUCUCGGUUCCCUUGACAAUGUGACCUUAUAGGAGUAAUAAAUUUGGAUUUUCCUAUGCUGGUUAUUUAUACCAUAGAAACUUCUUAAUCACUGUCCUCAUCCAAUAUAGUCUCUCGUCUCGGUAAAUGGCUUAAUGUGAUAAUUAUGCUUCAACUCAAAACAUCUCUAUUUGGCAGUCAGAGCUGGUUCAGAAGGAGCCUUGGAUUAAGAGACAAUAUGGUAGAAACUCCAAAUUUCUAACAAGUAAAUUAAAUGUAAAGGUGAAUAAAUUUUUUAAAAAAUGGAAAGCCAGUUAAUAUAAUGAAUGGAUGGAACUGUCUCUUAUCUCUAAACUUAUCAGUAGAAAACUAGGUUAACGAGCAUUUAUUAGACACAAGAAGAGUCUCAUCAUGUGUCAUUGUGUUUAAUAUACAGGAGCUACCUCUAUGAGCUUGAUACUUGAAACUUUCUGAUAAUUUUUUUCUAUACUCAAAAUGCUCACAAAAUUGGUGUGAUAGCCAUUACACAAAUUAAGAGAGUGAAGAUGGUUUUCCAGCUGGCUUCCCUGCCUCACCUUUGUACCACUGCCAUCCUCACUCCAACCCCACCUAUCAUCUAUGCUGUUGCUUUUCAAUUCUCCUUCCCUACUACAUUACAUUCACUGGCUCACUAUUGUCCACCACAUGAAGUCCAAGAUAUUAUCCAUGUUCAAGAUCUGUUCUUCUGUCCUUCCCCAACCCCAGAAUUUUGCUCUAACUACUUUUCCAGAUUUAUCUCCCAUUGCUCCCCUUCAUAGAUCUGACACUUAACCCAAAGCUAUUGUAAGCACUGCACUUUUCAUGGGGCUUCCUCUGUCCAGACCUCUGCUUAACCCUUUUCCUGUCAAAAUAUUUUCUUAUUUUUAAAGCCCAGUUCAACUUACAUCUUCUUUAUGAAGUUGUCUCUGAUUUCUAAAUGCCUGUAGCACUUUAUUAGGAGUAAAAAUUAAUAGCCAGUUUGACAGAAUUCCCACCUGAGCCUACAGGGAAUGCAGACUUCUCAGGCUCUGUCUGCCAAGUGGUAGAGCUCCCCAACAGCACAAUUGCAUAACCUUCCUGCUGGAGGAAAAGAGGACCUGUGAUGAGGAGGUUAGUGCAGAGGCUGCUGGGAACAGGCAAUGGGAAAUGGAGAGAAUAGCAUGAAGUCUUUCCCAGCCUGGCCGCAGACUUGCUGGUGUCUGGACUCUGGAGAAAGGAGAUACUGGGCAAAUGCUAAUGGAACAGUUUUCACAAGAGAAUCUUUAGAGACACGGGUGCAAACAAUCUUGAAUUUGUAUCCUUACAGAAGAGUGUAAUGUAAAGACAGAGAAAGAGUCCCUUUUCACUGCUUAUCACUGAACACGACUCAGCUUGGCAUCUCAUGUGCUCUGGCAUGCCAGCUGCGGUGGGAGCCCGCAGAGCCCAACGGAGCUGCAGGGAACCACAUGGGAAUGGACUUGCUUGUGAGCUCAUGUGAAUUCACAGAAUCCGGGCCAGAUGUGGUGGUGUGUACUUGUAGACCCAGCUACUUGGGAGGCUCUUGCAGGAGGAUUACUUGAGCUCAGGAGCUCAAUGCCAGCUUGAGCAAUCUAGUGAGACCUCAUCUCUUUAAAAAAAAAUUUCCAGUUUUGGGAAAUCCCCCAGAAAUAGCUAAAGGACACUGUAGAUGGCCAAGACCCUGUGUAAAUAUUCUGGGAGGGAAAGCCUGUAGAAUUUGGAUUAUUACUAUUGAUUACAUUUUAUUUAUGUACACGGACAGGUUAAGUCCUAGAAAAACUUGGGUUAAUGCUGACAUUCAUUUAUGACUUGAUGUGGUUUUAAAACUUAUCUCCAUUGAUGUAUCUGAUUUGAUCACCAUAACAACCACUCAAAGUGGCUAUUAUUAUAUCCAGAUUUUCCCCCAUAGCAAUGGAUUUGAGCAUAUUUUUUGUGUUUAUUGUGGAAAGAGUGUUUAUUGUGGAAAGAGUCCAGGACUUGUCAGCAGACCUAAGUUUGAGCUUUUACUCUUCUGCAUAUGGCUGGGUGAUCCUGGAUAAAUCCCAACCUCUCUGAGCUAUAAUUCCUUACCUGUAGGACAGGAAUAACAAUUCCUUUUGUAUAGAGAUGCUGUAAAAUUCUGAGAUAAUGAAAAAAAUCCUGUACGAUUGUAAGAAAUUAUUAUGGCACAUGACUUUAUACCAUUGCAUUCAUCUUCUGCCAUAAAUCGGUUUUUUCUAUACAUCUCAAUACAAUAAAAAUAAUUAACAGCAACCAUGCCUUAAUCAUCCCUGUGUCAUCUUAUCUUGCACAGAGUAGGUACUCAGUAUGAUGGCGUGAAACGUUGCAGGGUGAUAAACUUCCCAUCUAUAGUGUGAGGCCGGUACAGCGGAGUCAAACUUCAGAAUGGCUGGGACUAGAUGCCAAUCCUGAAAACCUAAGAUUAUUUAUUAGAUUAAUCAGAUAUAGAAGAGAUUCAGAUAUAAGAGGUCAAAUCAGUUUCCCAGGGACAUAAUACAUGGCUAAGAGAGACAGAACAUUAAAGGACAGCAGGGCUGGCAAAUGUUUUCUGUAAAGGGCCAGAAUAAUAAACAUUUUAGGCAAUGUAGGUCCUAUGGUCUCUGUGGCAACUACACAACUUUGCCAUUUUUAUCGUGAAAGCAGCCACAGACAGUAUGUAAGCGAAUGGGAGUGACCAUAUUCCAGUAUAUUGUAUUUUAAAAAACAAACAGAUGGUGGGCUGCAUUUGGCCCAUAGGCCCUGGUUGGUCAACUCCUGAGACAGAGGCUUGUCCUUUUGCCAAGGAAGAUUUAUAACACAAAAAGCCAAAAGUAAAACCAGGUGGUGG